RNAcentral lists this ribosomal RNA (1524 nucleotides) under Pennella sp. NOR-7-W12. Its description in RNAcentral is "eukaryotic LSU rRNA". It matches the Rfam family "Eukaryotic large subunit ribosomal RNA", at positions 114 to 1437 of the family's 3401-position model. Lineage: Eukaryota; Fungi; Kickxellomycota; Harpellomycetes; Harpellales; Legeriomycetaceae. The record is from RNAcentral.
CUUAAAAUCUACAAGUAUUAACUUAUUUGUCGAGUUGUAGCUUAUGGAGGCAGUUUUCUUUUCUACGUCAUAGUAAAAGUUCUUUUGAAUAAGACAUCAAAGAGGGUGAUAAUCCCGUAUUUGACUAUGUUUAGUAGAGAAAUGUGAACUGUUUUCUUUGAGUCGGGUUGUUUGGAAAUGCAGCCCUAAUUAGGAGGUAAAUUUCUUCUAAAGCUAAAUAUAAGCAAGAGACCGAUAGCAAACAAGUACCGUGAGGGAAAGAUGAAAAGCACUUUGAAAAGAGAGUGAAAAGUACGUGAAAUUGUUGAAAGGGAACCGGUUGGUAGCCAAGCAUCAUAGAUUAGGGGUGAGYGGRAUUUAUUCCAUUUAAAUCUUUUUUAUGGGGUCAACAUCGGUUGUGAUURUCUGAGAGGAAUUUUCAAGCUAACGAAAGGAAGGUAGAGUAGUUGAUGGCCGGAGAUUUAUUUCUGGAAUCACGUYAAUUGCUUGUUAUAGACUUUUAUAAGCUUGAUUUACGCCUAGGGGUGAUUUCGACCGAGGAACGCAGUGUGGAGCAAUCCUAGCUGGAUUAAGGAGAAUAUACUUUUGCACUUUUCAGACAGCUUGCUGACUGUUGAGAUGUACGAGCGUAUUUAAUUCAUAAUUUAGACUAAAAAACACUUUGGAUGUUGACGAAAAGGCACCAAUCGACCCGUCUUGAAACACGGACCAAGGAGUCCAACAUACCUGCGAGUAUGUGGGAAUUAAAACCCAUAUGCGUAAUGAAAGUGAAAUUGUUAAAUUUUAAAUUUUUCAUUAGAAUGCGAUCUUUGGCAUUUAUGUCAUUGAGCAGCAUCAACCGACUUUAGAUAGCGUUGCUUGACAAGGUUGAGUAAGAGCAUGUAUGCUGGGACCCGAAAGAUGGUGAACUAUGCCUGAAUAGGGUGAAGUCAGAGGAAACUCUGAUGGAAGCUCGUAGAGAUUCUGACGUGCAAAUCGAUCUCCAAAUUUGGGUAUAGGGGCGAAAGACUAAUCGAACCAUCUAGUAGCUGGUUCCUGCGGAAGUUUCCCUCAGGAUAGCAGAGACUGAAUAAAGCAGUUUUAUGAGGUAAAGCGAAUGAUUAGAGGCCUUGGGGAUGUAACAUCCUUAACCUAUUCUCAAACUUUAAAUGCGUAAGAAGUUUCAGUUUCUUAAUUGAACUGGAACGUUUACGAAUGCCUCAGUCUCUAGUGGGCCAUUUUUGGUAAGCAGAACUGGCGAUGCGGGAUGAACCGAACGUAAAGUUAAGGUGCCCAAAUGCACGCUCAUAUAGACACCAUAAAAGGUGUUAGUUCAUCUAGACAGCAGGGCGGUGGCCAUGGAAGUCGGAAUCCGCUAAGGAGUGUGUAACAACUCACCUGCCGAAUGAACUAGCCCUGAAAAUGGAUGGCGCUUAAGCGUGCUACCGAUACUUUACCGCCAAAAUUUAUAUAGAAAGUUUUGGUGAGUAGGCAGGCGUGGGGGUUAGUAGCGAAUCUGUGGGAGUGAUCUCCAGUGGAACAACC